GAUGAACGCUAGCUACAGGCUUAACACAUGCAAGUCGAGGGGAAACGACAUUGGAAGCUUGCUUCCGAUGGGCGUCGACCGGCGCACGGGUGAGUAACGCGUAUCCAACCUGCCCACCACUUGGGGAUAACCUUGCGAAAGUAAGACUAAUACCCAAUGACGUCCAUAGAAGACAUCUGAAGUGGAUUAAAGAUUUAUCGGUGAUGGAUGGGAUGCGUCUGAUUAGCUUGUUGGCGGGGUAACGGCCCACCAAGGCAACGAUCAGUAGGGGUUCUGAGAGGAAGGUCCCCCANAUUGGAACUGAGACACGGUCCAAAACUCCUAACGGGAGCAGCAGUGAGGAAUAUUGGUCAAAUGGGCGCGAG
RNAcentral lists this ribosomal RNA (365 nucleotides) under uncultured bacterium. RNAcentral's name for it is "bacterial SSU rRNA". It matches the Rfam family "Bacterial small subunit ribosomal RNA", at positions 28 to 381 of the family's 1533-position model. The record is from RNAcentral.